RNAcentral lists this ribosomal RNA (573 nucleotides) under bacterium T-1-0-7C. RNAcentral describes it as "bacterial SSU rRNA". It matches the Rfam family "Bacterial small subunit ribosomal RNA", at positions 389 to 943 of the family's 1533-position model. The record is from RNAcentral.
GAGCAACGCCGCGUGAGUGAUGAAGGUUCUUCGGAUCGUAAAACUCUGUUGUAAGGGAAGAACAAGUGCGUCUAGGUAAUGAACGCACCUGUGGACGGUACCUUGAUAUAGAAAGCCACGGCUAACUACGUGCCAGCAGCCGCGGUAAUACGUAGUGUGGCAAGCGUUGUCCGGAUUUAUUGGGCGUAAAGCGCGCGCAGUGUGGUUUCUUAAGUCGUGAUGUGAAAGCCCACGGCUCAACCGUGUGAGGGUCAUUGGAAACUGGGGAACUUGAGUGCAGAAGAGGAUAGUGGAAUUCCAAGUGUAGCGGUGAAAUGCGUAGAGAUUUGGAGGAACACCAGUGGCGAAGGCGACUGUCUGGUCUGUAACUGACACUGAGGCGCGAAAGCGUGGGGAGCAAACAGGAUUAGAUACCCUGGUAGUCCACGCCGUAAACGAUGAGUGCUAAGUGUUAGGGGGUUUCCGCCCCUUAGUGCUGCAGCUAACGCAUUAAGCACUCCGCCUGGGGAGUACGACCGCAAGGUUGAAACUCAAAGGAAUUGACGGGGGCCCGCACAAGCGGUGGAGCAUGUG